UCCUUCCAUGCCAUGCUAGUCAUUGCCCACC
RNAcentral lists this non-coding RNA (31 nucleotides) under Homo sapiens (human). Lineage: Eukaryota; Metazoa; Chordata; Mammalia; Primates; Hominidae. The record is from RNAcentral.